RNAcentral lists this unclassified non-coding RNA (222 nucleotides) under Hevea brasiliensis (rubber tree). Lineage: Eukaryota; Viridiplantae; Streptophyta; Magnoliopsida; Malpighiales; Euphorbiaceae. The record is from RNAcentral.
GUGGCCCCAGACAGCAGUCUUGCCACCAGGACAACUGUUCAUAUCGACUGCAUCAUGUUGGCUCAUAACCCCGGUGGGAAAGAGAGAACUGAAAAGGAAUUUGAGGCAUUAGCCAAGGGAGCUGGAUUUCAGGGUUUUCGAGUGGUAUGUGAAGCCUUCAAUACCCAUGUGAUGGAAUUCUUGAAGAGCGCCUAAAAGCCAAGUUUUCUCAAUAUUAUCUUC